RNAcentral lists this ribosomal RNA (739 nucleotides) under uncultured bacterium. Its description in RNAcentral is "bacterial SSU rRNA". It matches the Rfam family "Bacterial small subunit ribosomal RNA", at positions 8 to 796 of the family's 1533-position model. The record is from RNAcentral.
AGAGUUUGAUCCUGGCUCAGAACGGACGCUGGCGGCAGGCUUAACACAUGCAAGUCGAACGCACCGCAAGGUGAGUGGCAGACGGGUGAGUAACGCGUGGGAACGUGCCCUUCAGUUCGGGAUAACCCAGGGAAACUUGGGCUAAUACCGGAUACGUGCGAGAGCAGAAAGAUUUAUCGCUGAAGGAUCGGCCCGCGUCUGAUUAGCUAGUUGGUAGGGUAAUGGCCUACCAAGGCGACGAUCAGUAGCUGGUCUGAGAGGAUGAUCAGCCACAUUGGGACUGAGACACGGCCCAAACUCCUACGGGAGGCAGCAGUGGGGAAUAUUGGACAAUGGGCGCAAGCCUGAUCCAGCCAUGCCGCGUGAGUGAUGGAGGCCUUAGGGUUGUAAAGCUCUUUCGGCGGGGACGAUAAUGACGGUACCCGCAGAAGAAGCCCCGGCUAACUUCGUGCCAGCAGCCGCGGUAAUACGAAGGGGGCUAGCGUUGUUCGGAAUCACUGGGCGUAAAGGGCGCGUAGGCGGCCUGAUAAGUCGGGGGUGAAACCUGUGGCUCAACCACAGAAUUGCCUUCGAUACUGUCGGGCUUGAGACCGGAAGAGGUCAGUGGAACUGCGAGUGUAGAGGUGAAAUUCGUAGAUAUUCGCAAGAACACCAGUGGCGAAGGCGGCUGACUGGUCCGGUUCUGNNNCUGANNNGCGAAAGCGUGGGGAGCAAACAGGAUUAGAUACCCUAGUAGUCC